RNAcentral lists this long non-coding RNA (4016 nucleotides) under Homo sapiens (human). Its description in RNAcentral is "HSALNT0405260". The record is from RNAcentral. Lineage: Eukaryota; Metazoa; Chordata; Mammalia; Primates; Hominidae.
UGAAAGUCAUCCAGGGAAUUAAUGCCUUGUUAGGGGCCCUCCUGCCCUUCUGUGAUGACCACUGGGUGAGAAGCCCCUCCUGGAUGUUAUGUCACUCUGUUCAGUUGUCUCAGCCUCCUGGCAGUAUCACAGGUGAGGAAACCGAUAGAGAAGGCUUUGCCAAGCCUCAGUAAGGUGUGACUUUCAGUCACUUCCCCUUGGCCCAAACAGGAAGUCCCAUUGUUCCAGAGAUCUUGAUAUGGCAGAAGUGGGCAUGGGGUUUGGCCUUUGGUGGCAAGAAAGUCUCGCUUAUUAUAAGACUAUCCAGUGUUCCUUAAUACUAGACUAUCAUUCAAAGUCUCAGACUUCUGAGAGACCCAAUCAUAAUGGAGCCCUCCUGUUGGAACAGCUCAGGAGCUUUCUGAUUGGCUGUUGGUGACAUCAUUCAAGGGGCACUAUUUGCUGCCUCUGAAUGGAAGCAUUGUGAUGAGGGUGAUGAUCCAGCAGUCCCAGUGUGUCAGGUCCUGGGCUGGGAUCCAUGUCGUCCUUACAACAGUUCAGCAAGAAACAUGUUAUUCGAUCCAUUCACUGAGGAGGAAACUGAAAUCACUCGGAGAGGAGGAGUGAUUCAGCCCCAAAUUCCAAAGUGGUAGAAAUGGACUUGGGCUUCCCUAAUGUCUUAGCUAGUCCCCCAUCUACCUGUCCAUUCCUGGGACAGGUGAGGUAAGACAGUAGGGACCAGACAGUAACUGAUGGUGCAGAGGAGUCCUUGACUUAACAGGCCACUUGAUGCCAAAGAAUAGCUACUACAAACACCAGCUCCUAGCAAACAGCCCACACUGACCAGCCAAUUGCCUGAGGCCAGAUAGGUUUGCACACAACCUUCAAUCUGUUAAGAAAGGGCCUUGGGUCCAGCCACCCUUGAGUGUGGGAAUCAGUGAGUCUAGCACAGGGCUUACCCGGAAUUUCAUCAGCCCUCAGAACCAAGCUUUGUGACCCAUAGGGUAAUCAUGCCACAAACAAUCCAACCAAAAUGAAACCAUCCCAGGCCACUCUGAACUUAGAAGCCAAAGCGGGAAACAGAGAACUCUACCAAUGUGGAGGCAUCACUCUAUCCUGGGCCCAGCAAACUCAGGAGGCAGCUGCAUCUACAUUUCGAUUAAGCAUCGAGAGAUGCAAGGAAGUAUUACUGACUUCUAAAUUUUCCCUUCACCAUAGUCAUUCUGCCUGAACUUCCACAGUUAGACUGAGACAUAAAAUGCUAAUCUACCUGGAAAGGUAAUGCCUGCUAUCUGCAAUUGGCAUCAAAACAUAAAUUAGCUUCUGCCUAGAGAUGGUAACAGAGCAGAGGGCAUCACAAGAAAGCUAAGUUUUGAGAGGAGGGCAUGCAAAUAUGAAGAAAUAGGAACUUUGCUUGGGGGGUAUCCUGGGGAGAUUCAUAAGUGCCUGGAAUGAGGGAUUCUGUCCAAAGGGAAAAGGAAAGACCAGACAGAUGGAAUUUUCUGGCUGCACAAACUCCAGAGGCUGGCCCCUUACUCAUCAGAGAGUUGAAACCCUCAGUUAGGCCUCUCAGAACAGGAGUAGAACCCAUAGUUGGGGGCCAAGAGGGUCACAGCUGGGAGAAACUUGGGGAAUGAUGGAGUCCCAACCUCUUGUUUCACAGACAGGGGUAUAUGUCAGAGCCAUUCUUCCAGAUCAGAUGACCUGUUAAACUGAGACUUCUGCACCAUCUGAACCAUCAGUCACUCUCUGGCCCAGAGAGGUGGUGUUAUUUGCCAAGGACACACAGCAGGUGGCCAAGAUGGAGCCAAGCCAUUUUCCCCACUGCAGGGACCCCUGAUCUCCAUUCCCCUGGACAUCUCAAGGGCACAAAUUCUCUGGACACACGGAGGGAAUAAUGCUGACAUUUUAUAGAAGCUGACCCACUGGAUAUCCUUCUCACCCAACUCCAUUAGGCUGGGGAGAGUAAGAGGCACGGUGACAAGGUGGCAAAGAUGUCACCAUGCCAUCCAAUCACGAGGUCUCCAGGAAACUGUAUAAGAAGGACACCUCCAGAAACUCCUGGCACUACUGAACAAAUGUAUAAUAUCCCUGGGUAAAACCAAGAGUCCUCUCGCCUUCUCGCCAUUUGGUAACUGUUGUGCGCCUGACACAGCUUUACCCUCUUUGAAUGGGGAGAGCAGUAGUUUCUGUUCCACAGGUUGCUAUAAGGAUGAACUGUGAUCUCAUCAUUCCUCAUAAUAAUGGCUUAUCAAGAUGAAGUAAUGAUUACCAUUGCCAUUUUACUGAUGAUGAAACAAAGGCUAAGAGACUUGAAGAAUUUGCCCACAAUCUUGUAGCAAUGAAGGUACAGAGUCAGCCAUCUGGAACUCAAGCUGGCUCGACCCUCUGCCCCUCCAAACUGGACAUACAAGGUCAGGUCACUGCAUUCAUUCCUUACCUUGUACAGUGCCCAGAUUAUUCAUCUGUGUUACAAGGCAGGUAGAGAAGAGAUUAUGGACUCGGUUUUGUAUGGGCAAACUGAGGCACACAGUCAGAAAGAAUACACCAGCUGUUCUUUAGCUGAGAGGCCUUAGUUUCUUCCACCAGGACCAUCUAUGAAUAUGACCACCAUGUCUCUUCCACUGUCCACCAGGAGAUACUCCCUAGCAUGUCCCAACAGUGAAGGCUCAACAGAUCCUAAUAGCCUAAGACAGAUAAGAAACCAGGCUGUCUAAUUUCCCCCGGGGAUUAGGGAGCUACCAGUCCAGUUCCUCACAGAAGCAUGAUGCUGUGGCAGGACUAUGGAGCGAGGAGUCAGGAGACCUGGGAUGUGGUCUGGGCUCAGUUACCAGUGACCAUGUGACCCCAACAAGUCACUUUCCUACCUCCUGCUAGAGACAAGCUGGAAGCCACACUCAUGACCCAUGAUCAAACUCCCUCAGCACUUUGCAAAUAGACUUUCUGACCUACAUACAUCUGCAGUCCCCGUCAGUGGAUUGUCUCCACAAUUUCUUACCAAAAGCGAAACCUCUCAGGCUAAUGAGGCCAGAAAUGAGGAGUGCAUGGGCCUGUCUUUUGCCAUAAAUAAGGUCUUGGGGGGAAAAUCCAGAACCUAUUCCAGAGAGGGGUGGAAAAACACCCCACCUCAUUUUAUAUCCCAUGUGGUCCCAAAACCUUACAGGUGCUUCCAACAAGAAGGCCAGCACUGCCUUCUUAUGAAAAUAAAAAAACCCCAGUUUGCAUCAAGGCACAUUUUGCAUGCUUGAAGAGUAUUUAUAGCCAGAUUCUUAGAGGCUCCUCAUCUCCUCUUCUGCUCCUUCACAAAUGAAGCACUUAAAUCAUUUUGCAAUAGUGAUGUCUUUUUAAUAAGCCUAGUCAAAUGGAGUUUUCACUGACGAGACACGACACGUUUUAGCAAUGUUUAUAUUACUGUUUCUCCCCCUCCAGAGACAAAGGGGUGGCAUGCAGAGGCCACGAACCGCAGCAGGGGUGUCAUCAUGAUGCAUGGUCCUGGAAGGGUGUCUGAUCCCUGUCUGUUAACAGAAAUUCCCUUCCAAGGAAGCAGAUGCACAUGGAAGAAGAUAUCUUCUAGCUGUUCUCUGGCCUAAUGUGUCUCAAAGUGUGGUCCCAGGACAGGCACCUUUAGCACUCUAGCAUGUUAGAAAUACAGCCUCCCCAAGGCCACGCCAAGCCUACUGAUUCAGAAUCUCUAAGGCUGGAGUCUAGCAAUCUGUAUUCGGAGAAGUCUUACAGGGCAUUCUGACACAUUUGCAAGUGUGAGAACCACUGCUCUAAAGCAACCUCACCCUCUGAAUCAGGAUUGCCUAGGGGCUGGAGGGCUCCCUACCCCCCAUACCAAGAACCUCCUCUUGGGUCAGACCCUCAGGAGGUGGACUGGGGAAGAUACAGAGCUAACUGUUCCCCAGGUGACUGGAAUGCUCUUUAAAGUGUAAUUACAGGUCUGGUGCAAUGGUUCACGCCAGCACUCUGGGAGGCCAAGGCAGGAGGAUCGCUUGAGCCCAGGAAUUGGAGACCAACCUGGGCAACAAAGUGAG